Macrobrachium nipponense is the source of this 472-nucleotide long non-coding RNA. RefSeq lists it as uncharacterized. The transcript has 2 exons. The record is from RefSeq and is a predicted model, not a curated record. NCBI's taxonomy places the organism in Eukaryota, Metazoa, Arthropoda, Malacostraca, Decapoda, Palaemonidae.
GUGGCAAAGGGGAGCGCUCGGAAUGCAAUUUUUAUUGCGAUUGUUUGUUUGUAUCUGAAUGUUUGUAAAUAGGGUGGUGUCUGCAUUUGUCUACAGGCUGCCCUUCAACACCAACAAAGACUGGUUAAUACUCCUAUCCAUGCAGUGAUCAAUAUAGUCAGUGAAACAGCUCAUGAUGGUGCAAGUUUAAGGAAUGAAAGAAUGAUAAUGUGAUGACAAAACUAAUAUAUACAUUAUUAUAAACAGGACACAAUGACUGCAGAAAUUCUAAUGCAACUUUAAAAAUACGAUGAGACUAUGUAAAACUAAACAAUAAAAUUUGCCAGUUGUUUCUACCACUGUUUGACAAAUAAGCUCAGAGUUAGGUGAUAUUUUGGAAAAUAAAUCUUUGUACUUACUCAAGAAUCGUUUUUCCUCUACGACCCACUCUGGGUCAUCUUCUUCAAAAUCUGGAGACUCUUCCGAGUAAAAA